Molecule: transfer RNA, 92 nt
Filed under: Candidatus Omnitrophota bacterium
Lineage: Bacteria; Pseudomonadati; Candidatus Omnitrophota
Description: tRNA-Ser
Rfam family: tRNA
About the family: Transfer RNA (tRNA) molecules are approximately 80 nucleotides in length.
Source: RNAcentral
GGAGAGGUGGCAGAGUCCGGUUUAAUGCGGCGGUCUUGAAAACCGUUGUGGGGUUAAACCCACCGGGGGUUCGAAUCCCUCCCUCUCCGCCA